Molecule: ribosomal RNA, 95 nt
Filed under: Escherichia coli
Lineage: Bacteria; Pseudomonadati; Pseudomonadota; Gammaproteobacteria; Enterobacterales; Enterobacteriaceae
Also listed under: 3 other names
Description: partial 16S ribosomal RNA
Rfam family: Bacterial small subunit ribosomal RNA
Source: RNAcentral
UUAAAUUGAAGAGUUUGAUCAUGGCUCAGAUUGAACGCUGGCGGCAGGCCUAACACAUGCAAGUCGAACGGUAACAGGAAGAAGCUUGCUUCUUU